This 402-nucleotide long non-coding RNA is filed under the name Ananas comosus (pineapple). RNAcentral's name for it is "long non-coding RNA (ACOM_LNC006145)". The record is from RNAcentral. Lineage: Eukaryota; Viridiplantae; Streptophyta; Magnoliopsida; Poales; Bromeliaceae.
AAAAUAAUAUUUUAUGAGUAAAAUUACUAUACAUUUAAAAGUACAAGACAGUUGGUGUUUUCAAAUUUUUAGUCAUUAAAUCAGUUUUUUUGGCCAUUUAUAAACUUUAUAUUAAUAUUAUUAUUCUAGAAAGAUCACUCAAUCACAAUAAAAAUUACUAUCAUUCCGACCUUAAAAUUUUUGAUCUAAGAACCAAAAUAUUGGAAGCACAACUGCCUUAUGCUUCUAAAAGUACAGUAACUCUAAAAUAUUUUAUUUUAUUUUAAAUUAUAUUUUUGAGGAACCAUACCCGUCUUACUAAUACACUUAAAAAAAUCUAUAAAUUUUACAUUCUAGUAUUCAAAAACUAUUAUUAUCUUCUUAAUCUUUUUUAAAUAUUAAUUUUUUUUUCAAAAAUAUUAC